This 253-nucleotide ribosomal RNA is filed under the name uncultured bacterium. RNAcentral's name for it is "partial 16S ribosomal RNA". It matches the Rfam family "Bacterial small subunit ribosomal RNA", at positions 524 to 776 of the family's 1533-position model. The record is from RNAcentral.
UACGUAGGUGGCAAGCGUUGUCCGGAUUUACUGGGCGUAAAGGGCGCGUAGGCGGGACGGCAAGUCGGUUGUGAAAUCCUCCGGCUCAACCGGAGAACGUCGAUCGAUACUGCCGUUCUUGAGGGUUGCAGAGGAGACUGGAAUUCCCGGUGUAGCGGUGAAAUGUGUAGAGAUCGGGAGGAACACCGGUGGCGAAGGCGGGUCUCUGGGCAAUUCCUGACGCUGAGGCGCGAAAGCGUGGGGAGCAAACGGG